AUGUGGUUAUCUGGUGUUGUAGCUAUGUUUUUGUACCAUGUAAUUUGUAUUCCCUUUGUCCUCCGUAAGUACCUUGACUAUUCACAGCUACUGACCAGUGGGGUGACCCAUACUUCCAUUUCUAAAGAGUUGGGUCAUCAGUCAUCAGUCAUCUUGGGUGUGAUUUUUCCAUUGUCUUUCAAUUACAGGACAUGUGAGUACUGGGCAGUACCCCAGAAGACAUCAUGCAUUCCAAUUUCCCCUUUAUAUUCGGAUCAGAUUGAUGUAAUAAGCCUAUUUCCCCUGGAUACUUUCCUCUUUCAACAUGGCCCUAGGACAAGAUAUACUGAGCACAAGAAGGCACUUAUUAAAGAGAGAAGCCUAUUGUUUUUAAUUUCUAUCACCUGGACAAAUCUUUCACUAUUCCUAGCAUUCACCAAUAUGGUAAAUUCACACUUGCAGAAGGUACAGUAAAAGCAUAAACUCAGAUUGAUACUGAUCUUAAAGAAGCCCCAAAGGUUUUUAUUUGUUUCUGAAUCCACUUGUAUGUUCCAGGCCAAAACUUCGGAAGAGAAGGUUUAUCUUUGUUCAGUUCUACAUUUGGAUUUCAGAAAACCACAAGUGAAAGAGAUUCAGUGUUUGCUCCAAUGGGUUCUCCAUUGCUGUCUUUGUUUCUACAUGUUCUCUGUUUUACAUAUUAAGAUUACAACAGACCUCACGUCUUCAAAGUACCCAAAGAUGAAGCUAUAUGCUAGAACCAAGAAAGACAGAGGCUUCUGAAAACUAUGUUAUGGAGAAUGAAUUUUCAAUAUGUGGCAAAUUCUAUUCCAGAAGUAUCAGACAGAACUAUCAUAGCCUUUGCUUAUUAAGUCUCAAAUGUUUUAAGCUGAUUUCCAAAUCAAUAGUCACAG
This 890-nucleotide long non-coding RNA is filed under the name Fukomys damarensis (Damara mole-rat). RNAcentral's name for it is "lncRNA (ENSFDAG00000025224.1)". Lineage: Eukaryota; Metazoa; Chordata; Mammalia; Rodentia; Bathyergidae. The record is from RNAcentral.